UGUGAACGUUACCAAACUGUUGCCUCGGCGGGAUCUCUGCCCCGGGUGCGUCGCAGCCCCGGACCAAGGCGCCCGCCGGAGGACCAACCAAAACUCUUUUUGUAUACCCCCUCGCGGGUUUUUUAUAAUCUGAGCCUUCUCGGCGCCUCUCGUAGGCGUUUCGAAAAUGAAUCAAAACUUUCAACAACGGAUCUCUUGGUUCUGGCAUCGAUGAAGAACGCAGCGAAAUGCGAUAAGUAAUGUGAAUUGCAGAAUUCAGUGAAUCAUCGAAUCUUUGAACGCACAUUGCGCCCGCCAGUAUUCUGGCGGGCAUGCCUGUCCGAGCGUCAUUUCAACCCUCGAACCCCUCCGGGGGGUCGGCGUUGGGGAUCGGCCCUGCCUCUUGGCGGUGGCCGUCUCCAAAAUACAGUGGCGGUCUCGCCGCACCCUCUCCUGCGCAGUAUUUUGCACACUCGCAUCGGGAGCGCGGCGCGUCCACAGCCGUUAAACACCCAACUUCUGAAAUG
RNAcentral lists this unclassified non-coding RNA (506 nucleotides) under Trichoderma harzianum. Its description in RNAcentral is "partial contains 18S rRNA, ITS1, 5.8S rRNA, ITS2 and 28S RNA". The stretch from base 176 to 329 matches the Rfam family "5.8S ribosomal RNA". Lineage: Eukaryota; Fungi; Ascomycota; Sordariomycetes; Hypocreales; Hypocreaceae. The record is from RNAcentral.